GGAGCUAUUGGCUUUGAAUUGUAUUGUGGAAAUGUAUUACCAACAGAGGUGCAGGUGCCAGCCUAUUGAAAUAAAGCGUCAAUGAGGGUGAGAAUCCUGUUUGUCAUGUGCAGCCCUUUGUGCACGGUGUAUAUUUGCUGAGUCACACUCCUUGGCAUUGGAAUGCAAAGUGGGUGGUAAGUUUCAUGUAAAGGUAAACAUGCAAUUGAGACUGAUAGCACACAAGUACCAUGAGGGAAAUAUGAAAAGGACUUUGAAAAGAGAAUUAAAUGAGUUUGUAUUUGCUGAACACAAAGUAAACAGACUUGAUUUGCUUGGUGGGAGUGUUGCACUUGCUUGACAAGAGCUUUGGGCUGUGGGUGUAAUGAUUCUUUCUUUGCAUGCCAGUUUCUAUUUGUACAUCUGAUUACCUUUGCACAUGAAUGAUAAGUCUCCUGUGGGGGGUGGAUUGCAUGUGCAUGUAAUGAUUUGUGUUUUGAUAAAUGUGUCUGGUGUAUGUGUGUGUUCCUGUGCUUGGGGAUGCUUCCUUCCUUGGACUUACAAGCCCUGACACACACAUGCUGGCAAAAUGCUUCUGCUUGACCCGUCUUGAAACACGGACCAAGGAGUCUAACAGAUGUGCAAAGUUUGAAGGUGGUAUACCUUUGUGUGCAAUGAAAGUGUCAGCUGGGAUAUGUGCACCAGCACCCAAUUAAUUAGCGGACAGAGGUUUGAGUUGGAGCAUAUCUAUUAGGACCCGAAAGAUGGUGAACUAUGCCUGAACAGAAUGAAUUCAGAGGAAACUCUGAUGGAGGUUCGUAUCGAUACUGACGUGCAAAUCGUUCGUCAUAUUUGGGUAUAGGGGCGAAAGACUAAUCGAACCAUCUAGUAGCUGGUUCCCUCCGAAGUUUCCCUCAGGAUAGCUGGAGUUGCUCAGUUUUAUCAGGUAAAGCGAAUGAUUAGAGGAAUUGGGGACAGGUUUGUCUUU
RNAcentral lists this ribosomal RNA (967 nucleotides) under Alexandrium catenella. RNAcentral's name for it is "partial large subunit ribosomal RNA". It matches the Rfam family "Eukaryotic large subunit ribosomal RNA", at positions 123 to 1048 of the family's 3401-position model. The record is from RNAcentral. Lineage: Eukaryota; Dinophyceae; Gonyaulacales; Pyrocystaceae.